CAGCAGUCAAGAAUAUUAGUCAAUGCUCGUAAGAGUGAACUAGCUAACUGAAAUCACACACAUGCCAAAAUUGGUAUAGUAUGUGAUAACAUAAGGGAAAAUAAUGAUUAAACCUUAUUAUUAGUGCUGUCCAAAUCUGGUGCCAGAAGACUCGGUAAGGCCAGAGGCGCAAACGUUAGUCGUCUUAAUCAGGCGUAAAGGGUUCGUAGGCAGCUUAGAACAUCAAAUCUUUAAAAUUAGCCAAAAAGUAAAGAUUUCGAUAAGUAAAAGCUAGGAUCUUAUUGGGGUUAUGUUAAAUAAUACUUAGGGUAGAGAUAAAAUGUUUAGAACCUAAGGGGAAUACUAAAGGCGAAGGCUCUUUUUCCACUAAUGAUCGACGCUGAGGAACGAAAGUGAGGAUAGGAAAAAGGAUUAGAUACCCGAGUACCCCUCUCUGUCAACGAUGAAUGGUGAUUAGGCUAGAAUUCUAUGUGAACUAGCGAAUAUGCUAACGCGAUAACCAUUCCGCCUUGUGAGUACGGUCGCAAGACUGAAAACAAAAAAAUUAGUCGGUCUCGGAGCAAACGAAGUGAAGCAUGUUAUUUAAUUCGAUAAUCCGC
Molecule: ribosomal RNA, 599 nt
Filed under: Laetisaria fuciformis
Lineage: Eukaryota; Fungi; Basidiomycota; Agaricomycetes; Corticiales; Corticiaceae
Description: mitochondrial SSU rRNA
Rfam family: Bacterial small subunit ribosomal RNA
Source: RNAcentral